RNAcentral lists this ribosomal RNA (737 nucleotides) under uncultured Corynebacterium sp. Its description in RNAcentral is "bacterial SSU rRNA". It matches the Rfam family "Bacterial small subunit ribosomal RNA", at positions 28 to 776 of the family's 1533-position model. The record is from RNAcentral. Lineage: Bacteria; Bacillati; Actinomycetota; Actinomycetes; Mycobacteriales; Corynebacteriaceae.
GACGAACGCUGGCGGCGUGCUUAACACAUGCAAGUCGAACGGAAAGGCCUGCAGCUUGCUGCGGGUACUCGAGUGGCGAACGGGUGAGUAACACGUGGGUGAUCUGCCUUGCACUUCGGGAUAAGCUUGGGAAACUGGGUCUAAUACCGGAUAGGACAGCUGUUUAGUGUCAGUUGUGGAAAGUUUUUUCGGUGCAAGAUGAGCUCGCGGCCUAUCAGCUUGUUGGUGGGGUAAUGGCCUACCAAGGCGUCGACGGGUAGCCGGCCUGAGAGGGUGUACGGCCACAUUGGGACUGAGAUACGGCCCAGACUCCUACGGGAGGCAGCAGUGGGGAAUAUUGCACAAUGGGCGGAAGCCUGAUGCAGCGACGCCGCGUGGGGGAUGAAGGCCUUCGGGUUGUAAACUCCUUUCGACAGGGACGAAGCGUAAGUGACGGUACCUGUAUAAGAAGCACCGGCUAACUACGUGCCAGCAGCCGCGGUAAUACGUAGGGUGCGAGCGUUGUCCGGAAUUACUGGGCGUAAAGAGCUCGUAGGUGGUUUGUCGCGUCGUCUGUGAAAUUCCGGGGCUUAACUCCGGGCGUGCAGGCGAUACGGGCUGACUUGAGUGCUGUAGGGGAGACUGGAAUUCCUGGUGUAGCGGUGAGAUGCGCAGAUAUCAGGAGGAACACCGAUGGCGAAGGCAGGUCUCUGGGCAGUAACUGACGCUGAGGAGCGAAAGCAUGGGUAGCGAACAGG